CGGACGGGUGAGUAAUGCUUGGGAAUCUGGCUUAUGGAGGGGGAUAACGACGGGAAACUGUCGCUAAUACCGCGUAAUAUCUUUGGAUUAAAGGGUGGGACUUUCGGGCCACCUGCCAUAAGAUGAGCCCAAGUGGGAUUAGGUAGUUGGUGGGGUAAAGGCCUACCAAGCCGACGAUCUCUAGCUGGUCUGAGAGGAUGACCAGCCACACUGGAACUGAGACACGGUCCAGACUCCUACGGGAGGCAGCAGUGGGGAAUAUUGCACAAUGGGGGGAACCCUGAUGCAGCCAUGCCGCGUGAAUGAAGAAGGCCUUCGGGUUGUAAAGUUCUUUCGGUGAUGAGGAAGGGUGAUGUUUUAAUAGAGCAUUACAUUGACGUUAGUCACAGAAGAAGCACCGGCUAACUCCGUGCCAGCAGCCGCGGUAAUACGGAGGGUGCGAGCGUUAAUCGGAAUGACUGGGCGUAAAGGGCACGCAGGCGGUGACUUAAGUGAGAUGUGAAAGCCCCGAGCUUAACUUGGGAAUUGCAUUUCAUACUGGGUCGCUAGAGUAUUUUAGGGAGGGGUAGAAUUCCACGUGUAGCGGUGAAAUGCGUAGAGAUGUGGAGGAAUACCGAAGGCGAAGGCAGCCCCUUGGGAAUAUACUGACGCUCAUGUGCGAAAGCGUGGGGAGCAAACAGGAUUAGAUACCCUGGUAGUCCACGCUGUAAACGCUGUCGAUUUGGGGAUUGGGCUUUGAGCUUGGUGCCCGUAGCUAACGUGAUAAAUCGACCGCCU
This 777-nucleotide ribosomal RNA is filed under the name uncultured Actinobacillus sp. RNAcentral's name for it is "bacterial SSU rRNA". It matches the Rfam family "Bacterial small subunit ribosomal RNA", at positions 99 to 874 of the family's 1533-position model. The record is from RNAcentral. Lineage: Bacteria; Pseudomonadati; Pseudomonadota; Gammaproteobacteria; Pasteurellales; Pasteurellaceae.